RNAcentral lists this ribosomal RNA (325 nucleotides) under uncultured bacterium. RNAcentral's name for it is "bacterial SSU rRNA". It matches the Rfam family "Bacterial small subunit ribosomal RNA", at positions 35 to 334 of the family's 1533-position model. The record is from RNAcentral.
GACGAACGCCUGGCCGGCGUCGCCGUAAGUACAUGCAAGUAGAACGCUGAGGACUGGUGGCUUGGCAACGUGGUCUAAGGAGUUGCGAACGGGUGAGUAACGCGUAGGUAACCUACCUCAUAGCGGGGGAUAACUAUUGGAAACGAUAGCUAAUACCGCAUGACAAUAGGGUACACAUGUACCCUAUUUAAAAGGGGCAAAUGCUUCACUAUGAGAUGGACCUGCGUUGUAUUAGCUAGUUGGUAAGGUAACGGCUUACCAAGGCGACGAUACAUAGCCGACCUGAGAGGGUGAUCGGCCACACUGGGACUGAGACACGGCCCAG